Arabidopsis thaliana (thale cress) is the source of this 249-nucleotide long non-coding RNA. RefSeq annotates it as other RNA. The record is from RefSeq. The transcript has a single exon. Lineage: Eukaryota; Viridiplantae; Streptophyta; Magnoliopsida; Brassicales; Brassicaceae.
AGGGUAAACAGGUAAGAAGCAAUCAGGUGAUCAAGAGAAGGUGUUGACGGUGGUGGGAAAGAAACAUUGUGGUGGUGUUGAGUUGGUGAGAAGUCAAAACAACUAGAAAGAGAUGAAUUUUCGAAAAUGAAAGGAAAAAGAACGUGGAGAUGGUUUUGUUGAUGGUUUUGUUCUUCAACAAAACCUUGAUAUAUAAGAAUGUAUGUAUUAUACUUGGUCCACAAGAUACAUGUCUUAUUCCCCAAGUUG